RNAcentral lists this ribosomal RNA (684 nucleotides) under uncultured Propionibacterium sp. RNAcentral's name for it is "bacterial SSU rRNA". It matches the Rfam family "Bacterial small subunit ribosomal RNA", at positions 33 to 725 of the family's 1533-position model. Lineage: Bacteria; Bacillati; Actinomycetota; Actinomycetes; Propionibacteriales; Propionibacteriaceae. The record is from RNAcentral.
ACGCUGGCGGCGUGCUUAACACAUGCAAGUCGAACGGAAAGGCCCUGCUUUUGUGGGGUGCUCGAGUGGCGAACGGGUGAGUAACACGUGAGUAACCUGCCCUUGACUUUGGGAUAACUUCAGGAAACUGGGGCUAAUACCGGAUAGGAGCUCCUGCUGCAUGGUGGGGGUUGGAAAGUUUCGGCGGUUGGGGAUGGACUCGCGGCUUAUCAGCUUGUUGGUGGGGUAGUGGCUUACCAAGGCUUUGACGGGUAGCCGGCCUGAGAGGGUGACCGGCCACAUUGGGACUGAGAUACGGCCCAGACUCCUACGGGAGGCAGCAGUGGGGAAUAUUGCACAAUGGGCGGAAGCCUGAUGCAGCAACGCCGCGUGCGGGAUGACGGCCUUCGGGUUGUAAACCGCUUUCGCCUGUGACGAAGCGUGAGUGACGGUAAUGGGUAAAGAAGCACCGGCUAACUACGUGCCAGCAGCCGCGGUGAUACGUAGGGUGCGAGCGUUGUCCGGAUUUAUUGGGCGUAAAGGGCUCGUAGGUGGUUGAUCGCGUCGGAAAGUGUAAUCUUGGGGGCUUAACCCCUGAGCGUGCUUUCGAUACGGGUUGACUUGAGGAAGGUAGGGGAGAAUGAAUUCCUGGUGGAGCGGUGGAAUGCCGCAGAUAUCAGGAGGAACACCAGUGGCGAAGGCGGG